Microcebus murinus (gray mouse lemur) is the source of this 894-nucleotide non-coding RNA. The record is from RefSeq and is a predicted model, not a curated record. Lineage: Eukaryota; Metazoa; Chordata; Mammalia; Primates; Cheirogaleidae.
GAACCUAGAACAUGGAAGCAAAGUCACCUGCCCCAGGCCACAUUUAGAGCAAAGCACAGCCCGUCUGACUCAGGGCCAGGUGCAGAAUCAUGCGCCAUACUGCCCUACUUGCCCCAGGCCCAUUCUGGGUGCUCCCUCGAGGAGCCCUGGAGCCUGCAGUGAAUCAGGAAGACGGAUGCAUAAACAGGCCUCUGGAUUCGCUCUCUGCAGCACCCCAGGGCGCUCUGGCCUUUCAAGUGCAGCCUCUGUGAAUAUGACUCAGGCAACCAAGCAAGCCGCCGGGGCCGCCUCCACCCGCACGAGCUGACACAGCAAGUCCAGACUCCUGGUUCCCAUUCUCGUCUACGAGAAGGAAUUUCCCAAGGACAUGACUUUCACGUGGGAAACUUGGCAAGACGGUGAACUCAACCUGCUGGAAUUCAGCAACCUGCACGAUUAAUUUCAUAUUUGAUUUUUGUGCACAUCCUGUGGUUCUGAGAAAUGAGAGAUUUAUUUAGGGUUGUCAUAGCUCAGAGUUAAAGGACUGAGCUUAGAAUUCCAAACGCUCCAGUGCACUCAGCAGAACCCACUGUGGUCCCUGCAGUCAUCAUCGCUGCUGUGGCAGUCAGGGCUGCAGCUACUUGGGCUCCCAAGGCACUUGCAUCAGUUGACACUUCGUCACGAUCAACCACAGGUGAUGGUUUGACCAAUUGUGCUGCCCCUGAGUGCCAUGAAUUCCUGAUGCCCACUUCCCACUGGCAAAGAGCUCAGUCAGCACCGUGCUCGAACCCGGGGCCACAACCAACCCACUUCCAAGAAUCUCAUCUCGGUGGGUCUGUCUCUUGGGAUUACACCAAGUUUCCAUCAUCCAGGAUCCAAACAAGAGACAGAAACCACAUUGGAUUUGAACAGGGC